Molecule: long non-coding RNA, 1308 nt
Filed under: Chinchilla lanigera (long-tailed chinchilla)
Lineage: Eukaryota; Metazoa; Chordata; Mammalia; Rodentia; Chinchillidae
Description: lncRNA (ENSCLAG00000024448.1)
Source: RNAcentral
UUGAUGUCGUCUGGAUAAGAAGAUACAUUUCAUUGCAGAUUCUGUUUCAGAGCAAGGGGACAGUCUCCCAGCAAUGGCUUUCGUGUGGGUUCAGAAUCGUGUCACCACAGAGAUGACACAGCAGAGCAGAUGCAUCGGAGCUUGUCGCAGGCACAGAGGGAGACUCAGUCUCUUUCAGGUCCAGGGCACCUCUUGGGAGAGGGUGUUGUUCUCGUCAGGAUGCUGACCCUUGGAAAAGCAUCCUCAGUGGGCUGUGGACGAGGAAACCCACAGCAGGCGCAUGGGCAUUUUAGAGAAACCUACUGCUUCCUCCUGCACGGAAUCGAAGCUGCUCGCAGCUUGCCAGCCGCUGCAGUCAUGCAUGGGGCCUGUUCCCACUUCACUCACUUCCUGACCAACAGCUUGUCACACCAUUGGACGGUGGCACACCGGGUCUACAUCUCUGUUAAAAAAUGGUAAGUGGCUGGGCACUGACUGGUUUAUCUAUAACUGACAUCUUAGAUUCUGGAAAAUCACAGAAUUUUGGCAUUGCCAUUUAGUCAUCUGCCAAACAGGGCAAUGACCUUGCCUCUGAGACCCCUUAUGGAAUGUAUACUAAAUGUAUUUAGUUAUGAUCUUUGCUUAUGCGUAUGCUAGUUGCCAGGCCAUCUGGCUUGGCUGUUCACCCGUCUAAGUCUCAGAAAGUCAAGGUCUGACCACUGCUCCUCUCCCAAGGUCCCUGCCUCCCUUACCUCUGACCUCAUUCCUUCCUAUUCUCCUUUCUCUCCUUCAUGUCCCCACGCUGGCUCCUUGACUGGGGCUGAGUCUGCUGGCAAAGGUAGAGUUGCCUGUGUCCUCUAUGGGUGCCUCUCCUGCUGUGCAUCAGCACUCACUGAAAUUUCCCCUUGACUCCCAAUCUUUGCUCGAAUGCUAGCUUCUUUGUUGGGACACACUUUUCCAAACUGCCACCUGCUUCCCACCCAGAUCCUUAACAUUAGGGAGAACCCUCUUCUGGUUCAACGCUGUCUGUAUUGCAAAGCAGGUUCCUGUUUAUUAAGAUCACCAUUUCCCUUCUCUAACUGAAUGUUCUUUCAAUACAGGAAUUUUUGUCCAAUUCCAGUUUUUUUUUUUUAAAGAGAAAAGAACAAAAACAAAUUAACAAACACAAAGACAUACACAAAACAACACAAAAACAAUAAAAACAAUACAGAAUUUCAAACAAGGUGAUAGGAAAUUAACAGCGGCUGUUGUAUUAUGCAUUGGUAUCUUCAAAUUGGUUACUCAGUUUGUUUUUAACAGUGCAUCGCAAAUAUCUUGGAAUGCCUGAUA